RNAcentral lists this non-coding RNA (230 nucleotides) under Caldibacillus debilis. RNAcentral's name for it is "T-box sequence". It matches the Rfam family "T-box leader". Rfam says of the family: Uncharged tRNA acts as the effector for transcription antitermination of genes in the T-box leader family. T-boxes are found upstream of many aminoacyl-tRNA synthetase genes and some amino acid biosynthetic genes usually in Gram-positive bacteria. The anticodon of a specific tRNA base pairs to a specifier sequence within the T-box motif, and the NCCA acceptor tail of the tRNA base pairs to a conserved bulge in the T-box antiterminator hairpin. Lineage: Bacteria; Bacillati; Bacillota; Bacilli; Caryophanales; Bacillaceae. The record is from RNAcentral.
CCAUAUGCGUUGAACGGGAGGAGUACAAUCCCCACUGCAUUCGAGAGAGGGAAUCGGCUGGUGGAAGAUUCCUAUGCAGCGGAUUGGAAGGUCGCCCGGGAGUAGCUUUUGCGAAAGACGUCGCCGUCGAUUAGCAAAAGCCGGCGGAUGCCGUUAACCGAAGGAGUGCCGGAUGCAGCCGUCUGCAUCCGUGAAAAAAGGUGGUACCGCGAAUCCCAUUCGUCCUUUUG